This 1362-nucleotide ribosomal RNA is filed under the name uncultured bacterium. RNAcentral's name for it is "bacterial SSU rRNA". It matches the Rfam family "Bacterial small subunit ribosomal RNA", at positions 28 to 1381 of the family's 1533-position model. The record is from RNAcentral.
AUUGAACGCUGGCGGCAGGCCUAACACAUGCAAGUCGAACGGUAGCACAGAGGAGCUUGCUCCUUGGGUGACGAGUGGCGGACGGGUGAGUAAUGUCUGGGGAUCUGCCCGAUGGAGGGGGAUAACCACUGGAAACGGUGGCUAAUACCGCAUAACGUCGCAAGACCAAAGUGGGGGACCUUCGGGCCUCACACCAUCGGAUGAACCCAGAUGGGAUUAGCUAGUAGGUGGGGUAACGGCUCACCUAGGCGACGAUCCCUAGCUGGUCUGAGAGGAUGACCAGCCACACUGGAACUGAGACACGGUCCAGACUCCUACGGGAGGCAGCAGUGGGGAAUAUUGCACAAUGGGCGCAAGCCUGAUGCAGCCAUGCCGCGUGUAUGAAGAAGGCCUUCGGGUUGUAAAGUACUUUCAGCGGGGAGGAAGGGGAUGAGGUUAACAACCUCGUUCAUUGACGUUACCCGCAGAAGAAGCACCGGCUAACUCCGUGCCAGCAGCCGCGGCAAUACGGAGGGUGCAAGCGUUAAUCGGAAUUACUGGGCGUAAAGCGCACGCAGGCGGUCUGUUAGUCAGAUGUGAAAUCCCCGGGCUUAACCUGGGAACUGCAUUUGAAACUGGCAGGCUUGAGUCUUGUAGAGGGGGGUAGAAUUCCAGGUGUAGCGGUGAAAUGCGUAGAGAUCUGGAGGAAUACCGGUGGCGAAGGCGGCCCCCUGGACAAAGACUGACGCUCAGGUGCGAAAGCGUGGGGAGCAAACAGGAUUAGAUACCCUGGUAGUCCACGCCGUAAACGAUGUCGACUUGGAGGCUGUGAGCAUGACUCGUGGCUUCCGGAGCUAACGCGUUAAGUCGACCGCCUGGGGAGUACGGCCGCAAGGUUAAAACUCAAAUGAAUUGACGGGGGCCCGCACAAGCGGUGGAGCAUGUGGUUUAAUUCGAUGCAACGCGAAGAACCUUACCUGCUCUUGACAUCCACGGAAUUCGGCAGAGAUGCCUUAGUGCCUUCGGGAACCGUGAGACAGGUGCUGCAUGGCUGUCGUCAGCUCGUGUUGUGAAAUGUUGGGUUAAGUCCCGCAACGAGCGCAACCCUUAUCCUUUGUUGCCAGCGAUUCGGUCGGGAACUCAAAGGAGACUGCCGGUGAUAAACCGGAGGAAGGUGGGGAUGACGUCAAGUCAUCAUGGCCCUUACGAGCAGGGCUACACACGUGCUACAAUGGCGCAUACAAAGAGAAGCGACCUCGCGAGAGCAAGCGGACCUCACAAAGUGCGUCGCAGUCCGGAUCGGAGUCUGCAACUCGACUCCGUGAAGUCGGAAUCGCUAGUAAUCGUGGAUCAGAAUGCCACGGUGAAUACGUUCCCGGGCCU